RNAcentral lists this transfer RNA (79 nucleotides) under Atractylodes chinensis. Its description in RNAcentral is "tRNA-Thr". It matches the Rfam family "tRNA". From Rfam's summary of the family: Transfer RNA (tRNA) molecules are approximately 80 nucleotides in length. Their secondary structure includes four short double-helical elements and three loops (D, anti-codon, and T loops). The record is from RNAcentral. Lineage: Eukaryota; Viridiplantae; Streptophyta; Magnoliopsida; Asterales; Asteraceae.
GCCCUUUUAACUCAGUGGUAGAGUAAUGCCAUGGUAAGGCGUAAGCCCUCGGUUCAAAUCCGAUAUCCGAUAAGGGGCU